RNAcentral lists this unclassified non-coding RNA (164 nucleotides) under rhizosphere metagenome. RNAcentral describes it as "partial ribosomal RNA internal transcribed spacer region". The record is from RNAcentral.
GAGUUCAUGCCCUCACGGGUAGAUCUCCCACCCUUGAAUAUAUUACCUUUGUUGCUUUGGCGGGCACUCCCCAGCCGGGGCCGGAGGACCCUAAACUCUGAUUUAUAGUGUCGUCUGAGAACUAUACAAUAGUUAAAACUUUCAACAACGGAUCUCUUGGUUCU